AUUGAACGCUGGCGGAAUGCUUUACACAUGCAAGUCGAACGGCAGCACGGACUUCGGUCUGGUGGCGAGUGGCGAACGGGUGAGUAAUGUAUCGGAACGUGCCCAGUCGUGGGGGAUAACGUAGUGAAAAUUACGCUAAUACCGCAUACGAUCUAUGGAUGAAAGCGGGGGAUCGCAAGACCUCGCGCGAUUAGAGCGGCCGAUAUCAGAUUAGGUAGUUGGUGGGGUAAAGGCCCACCAAGCCAACGAUCUGUAGCUGGUCUGAGAGGACGACCAGCCACACUGGAACUGAGACACGGUCCAGACUCCUACGGGAGGCAGCAGUGGGGAAUUUUGGACAAUGGGCGAAAGCCUGAUCCAGCCAUUUCGCGUGCAGGAUGAAGGCCCUCGGGUUGUAAACUGCUUUUGUACAGAACGAAAAGGUUUCUACUAAUACUAGGAGCUCAUGACGGUACUGUAAGAAUAAGCACCGGCUAACUACGUGCCAGCCGCCGCAGUAA
RNAcentral lists this ribosomal RNA (500 nucleotides) under uncultured bacterium. RNAcentral describes it as "partial 16S ribosomal RNA". It matches the Rfam family "Bacterial small subunit ribosomal RNA", at positions 30 to 523 of the family's 1533-position model. The record is from RNAcentral.